GUAGGCAGGGAGUUUCAUCAUUGAGCAGACCCCUUCCUUUGGGCUUUUAAGGCAACUUGGAGUUUUUCAAGAGGAGGAGGAAGGGAAGGGAUGGGGGGAGCAGCCGCAGCCAGCCAUGCCGCCCCUAAUUCCUCCCGCCAGGAGCCCGAUCGGAUGCCUCUGGAGCAAUCUCCUGUUAGUUAGAUACAGCCCUCUCCUCAGCUUGCCUCGGGGGAGGAGCCUUUGACCGACGGCUCAUUGCCCUUUGUGCGUUUCUACUUCCAAGCCGCCCUUCUUCAUUCAGAAGGAGAAGCGCUUGGGAGACAUGCAGCCCCAAGCAGCGCGGAGCUGGGGGACGAGACCGGAGCUGGCUGGGGCUAGUUCGUCCUUGCCCGGGGCUUUGCCGUGAAGGCUGGCAGCCGGCAGCGUGGGAGCGCGCCCGGACUUCGGAAGUCUCCUUGCAGCAAUGGUGGCUUUCUAGAAGUGACCUCCCCAAGAAAGGAAGGAAUUGUAUCCGUGUGGUUAUUUUCCUCCCGUCUCGUCCUGUCCUCUCUCCUCCCCUGCCGGUCCCAGGGUGAUGGUUCUCAGCUUCAGCCCUGAGCACUCUCCUACCUUGACAUUGUUCUCCUGCAUUAGGUGAUGUUAUCCAUUCGACAACAGCUGUUGAUCCGCUAGGGCAGCCUGUAGCUGUUUCUUCUCCCUGUCAUGAUGUCACAGUCCUGGAUACUGCUGAGCUGACUGCAUCCAGGACCUCCAGGGCAAAAGCAACCUGUGAGAACAUUGUUCCUGCAUCCUCUGAGGACUUACAUUUGGCUCCCACCCCAGCCAAUGAUGCAGAAUUAUCAGCUUCUCAAAGCCAACAUCUGAAGAAGGAUUUGAAAAGGUACUUUGCCAAGUGUGUCUUGGGAGUGGGCCUUUCAGCAGAACCUCACAGAACUGAGGAUGAAAAGAGGCUAAAGCAGAAAUUGUGUUUUCCUUUUUACCAAAUCAAGGCACAUCUCUGUGACCCUGGGCAGCAGGCACUAGGUUUUCUGGAUGUGAUGCUUAUUGUGGUAAAUACAGUCCCAGGCUUCAUCUGUUUUGGCUCAGAAUGUGUGAUAAUUGGGCUUUGCUCUGAGUCUCAUUUUCAUAAGAAGUACAAAUGAGUAGUAGAAAGAUGAAUAAAACCC
This 1148-nucleotide long non-coding RNA is filed under the name Phascolarctos cinereus (koala). Its description in RNAcentral is "lncRNA (ENSPCIG00000032697.1)". Lineage: Eukaryota; Metazoa; Chordata; Mammalia; Diprotodontia; Phascolarctidae. The record is from RNAcentral.